This is a long non-coding RNA of Seriola aureovittata, 3130 nucleotides long. RefSeq lists it as uncharacterized. The transcript has 3 exons. The record is from RefSeq and is a predicted model, not a curated record. Lineage: Eukaryota; Metazoa; Chordata; Actinopteri; Carangiformes; Carangidae.
UAUGGUAUAAAAAUAAAAAAAAACAUCAUAGUAUAGUAAGGCAUAAAAUUUCAAAAAAUAUCAUAGUAUAGUAAUACAUAAAAUGUCAAAAAAGGUCAUGGUAUAGUGAGACAUAAAAUAUCAUAAAAUGUCAUAAUAUAGUAAGUCAUAACAACGUAAAAAAAACAUCAUAGUAUAGUAAGACAUAAAAUGUCAAAAAAGGUCAUAGUAUAACAAGGUAUAAAAAUGUCAUUGCAGUAUGGCAUAAAACGUUAUGGUAUAGUAAGGCGUAAAACCUCAAAAAACAUCAUAAUAUAGUAAGGCAUAAAAACAUCAUAGUAUAGUAUGGUAUAGAAAUUUCAAAAAAAUAAAAAUGUCAAAAAAUACAUAGUAUAGUAAGACAUAAAAUGUCAAAAAACAUCAUAGUAUAGUAGGGCAUAAAAAUAUAGAAAAAACGUAAUUGUUUAUUAAGGCAUAAAAACGUCAUAGUACAGUAAGGCAUAAAACGUCAUAGUAUAAUAAGGCAUAAAAAUGUCAAAAAAAGUCAUAGUAUAGUAAAGCAGAAAACGUCAAAAAACAUCAUAGUAUAGUAAGGCAUAAAAACGUCAUAGUAUAGUAUGGUAUAAAAAUGUCAAAAAACAUCAUAGUAUAGUAGGGCAUAAAACGUUAUAGUAUAAUAAGGCAUAAAAAUAUAGAAAAAAUGUAAUUGUUUAUUAAGGCUUAAAAUAUCAAAAAACCUCAUAGUAUAGUAAGACAUAAAAUGUCAAAAAAGGUCAUAGUAUAAUAAGGCAUAAAAACGUAAAAAAAACACCAUAGUAUAGUAAGGCAUGAAAAUAUAGAAAAAACUGAAUUGUUUAUUAAGGCAUAAAAACGUCAUAGUACAGUAAGGCAUAAAACGUCAUAGUAUGAUAAGGCAUAAAAUGUCAAAAAACAUCAUAGUAUAGUAAGGCAUAAAAACAUCAUAGUAUAGUGUGGUAUAAAAAUUUCAAAAAACAUCAUAGUACAUUAGGGCAUAAAAAUAUAGAAAAACUUAAUUGUUUAUUAAGGCAUAAAAACGUCAUAGUAUAGUAAAGCAUAAAACGUCAAAAAACAUCAUAGUAUAGUAAGGCAUAAAAACAUCAUAGUAUAGUAUGGUAUAAAAAUGUCAAAAAACGUCAUAGUACAGUAAGGCAUAAAACGUCAUAGUAUAAUAAGGCAUAAAAGUGUCAAAAAAAGUCAUAGUAUAGUAAAGCAUAAAACGUCAAAAAACAUCAUAGUAUAGUAAGGCAUAAAAACGUCAUAGUAUAGUAUGGUAUAGAAAUUUCAAAAAAAAAAAAAAUGUCAAAAAAUACAUAGUAUAGUAAGACAUAAAAUGUCAAAAAAGGUCAUAGUAUAGUAAGGCAUAAAAACGUAAAAUAAACAUAGUAUAGUAGGGCAUAAAAAUAUAGAAAAAACUUAAUUGUUUAUUAAGGCAUAAAAACGUCAAAGUACAGUAAGGCAUAUAACGUCAUAGUAUAAUAAGGCAUAAAAAUGUCAAAAAAAGUCAUAGUAUAGUAAGGCAUAAAACGUCAAAAAACAUCAUAGUAUAGUAAGGCAUAAAAACAUCAUAGUAUAGUAUGGUUUAAAAAUGUCAAAAAACAUCAUAGUAUAGUAAGGCAUAAAAUGUCAAAAACAUCAUAGUAUAGUAGGGCAUAAAAAUAUAGAAAAAACUUAAUUGUUUAUUAAGGCAUAAAAACAUCAUAGUAUAGUAGGGCAUAAAACGUUAUAGUAUAAUAAGGCAUAAAAAUAUAGAAAAAACGUAAUUGUUUAUUAAGGCUUAAAAUAUCAAAAAACCUCAUAGUAUAGUAAGACAUAAAAUGUCAAAAAAGGUCAUAGUAUAAUAAGGCAUAAAAACGUAAAAAAACACCAUAGUAUAGUAAGGCAUGAAAAUAUAGAAAAAACUGAAUGUUUAUUAAGGCAUAAAAACGUCAUAGUACAGUAAGGCAUAAAACGUCAUAGUAUGAUAAGGCAUAAAACGUCAAAAAACAUCAUAGUAUAUAGUAAGGCAUAACAACAUCAUAGUAUAGUAUGGUAUAAAAAUUUCAAAAAACAUCAUAGUAUAGUAGGGCUUAAAAAUAUAGAAAAAACUUAAUUGUUUAUUAAGGCAUAAAAAGGUCAUAGUAUAGUAAGGCAUAAAAACUUAAAAUAAACAUCAUAGUAUAGUAAGGCAUAAAAAUAUAGAAAAAACUUCAUUGUUUAUUAAGGCAUAAAAACGUCAAAGUACAGUAAGGCAUAAAACGUCAUAGUAUAAUAAGGCAUAAAAGUGUCAAAAAAAGUCAUAGUAUAGUAAAGCAUAAAACGUCAAAAUACAUCAUAGUAUAGUAAGGCAUAAAAACGUCAUAGUAUAGUAAGGCAUAAAAUGUCAAAAACAUCAUAGUAUAGUAGGGCAUAAAAAUAUAGAAAAAACUUAAUUGUUUAUUAAGGCAUAAAAACGUCAUAGUAUAGUAAGGCAUAAAACAUUAUAGUAUAAUAAGGCAUAGAAAUAUAGAAAAAAAAAAUUUUUUAUUAAGGCAUAAAAACGUCAUAGUACAGUAAGGCAUAAAACGUCAUAGUAUAAUAAGGCAUAAAAUGUCAAAAAAAGUCAUAGUAUAGUAAAGCAUAAAACGUCAAAAAACAUCAUAGUAUAGUAAGGCAUUAAAACAUCAUAGUAUAGUAUGGUAUAAAAAUUUCAAAAAACAUCAUAGUAUAGUAAGGCAUAAAAUGUCAAAAACAUCAUAGAAUAGUAGGGCAUAAAAAUAUGGAAAAAACUUAAUUGUUUAUUAAAGCAUAAAAACAUCAUAGUAUAGUAAGGCAUAAAACGUUAUAGUAUAAUAAGGCAUAAAAAUAUAGAAAAAAAUUAAUUUUUUAUUAAGGCAUAAAAACAUCAUAGUAUAGUAAGGCAUAAAACGUUAUAGUAUAAUAAACCAUAAAACGUCAAAAAACAUCAUAGUAUAGUAAGGCAUAAAAAAGUCAUAGUAUAGUAUGGUAUAAAAACGUAAAAAAAACAUCAUAGUAUAGCAAGGCAUAAAAAUAUAGAAAAAACUGAAUUGUUUAUUAAGGCAUAAAACGUCAUCGUAUAAUAAGGCAUAAAAGUGUCAAAAAAAGUCAUAGUAUAGUAAACCAUAAAACGUCAAAAAACAUCAUAGUAUAGUAA